GUCUACAGCCAUGCCACCCUGAACAUACCCGAUCUCAUCUGAUCUCAGAAGCUAAGCAGGGUUGGGCCUGGUUAGUACUUGGAUGAGAGACCACCUAGGAAUAUCAGGUGCUGUAGGCU
Molecule: non-coding RNA, 119 nt
Organism: Pteropus alecto (black flying fox)
Lineage: Eukaryota; Metazoa; Chordata; Mammalia; Chiroptera; Pteropodidae
Source: Rfam